CGAAACGUCGAUACCUUAUAAAUCGUUGCGUAAUUAUUACGUAUCGUGGCGCGAUUAUUGCCGCACGAACCGAGAACGCGGCCAGGGAACGAGAGGAGACGAAAGGCGGCAGACAAAGACCGGAAACGGAAGAGAGUGGGGUAACAAGCCACAGAGUAGACUCGUUUCGUUCGUUCGGUUAGUCCAGGAUUAUCGCGAUAAUCAUCGUCGGGGAAGCUCCAAGAUAUAGAAGGAGACUAUGCUCGACGAAUAAACUAGGAUGUCGGGUAACAUUGUCGAGAAGCGGGAGCGAGAGAUAACGGCGUUCAUCUUUCUCGCGUAUAAACCGAGAGCUCGGUUUUCGCCGCUCGUCGCUCGCUACCGUGGAAAGAAUUCUCGCAAGAUGGCGGAAAGAUUCGAGGCAGACAUGCGAUCCGAUUUCCUGUGCUCUCCCUACCGAUGCCCUGCCGAACAACACAACGUAUCAUCAGCCCUGUCGAUCUAGAAGAAACAAUCGUUGUUUGCUGCGCUGCCGCGCGUCCCUUGCCAUCGCGGAAACACCGGAAAGCACGAUCGGCCAACGGAUUCUUUCGAAACUGCAGCAACACCUCGACGGACGCGACGGCGCGUUCUUUCAGCGGACGCUGCUGCGUUCUUUUUCCAUCCUCCGCGUUGCACGAGAACCGAUCGAUCGUAGGCAUCGUAGGCAUCGUUGGCCGACGAGGCGGCCUCUCAGGUUUGCUUUGCAGUGUGUAAACAGGCAGAAAAAGAGGACAGAGGGGAACAUUGCGUUCGCGCUCGAGGGACGAACCGACAGAGAUAGAGAAACAGAGAGAAACGGAGAGAGAGCGCGAGUUAGGGAAGAAACGGAAGAAAGGAAACCGGAGAGAAGGGAGAUCACGGUGGAUGCUAAGGACGAGAAAAACUACAAACAACGGAUGGGUAAGAGACGGUGGAAACGAGAAACGACGAGGGAUGAUGAGGCGAACGAAGGGCGAACAGGCGCGACCAGACCUCGUUCUAUGUUACGUUACAUAGCGACAUAUCCGAGCGCGACGAUUCUAACGCGUGACAGAGAAAAACGAAACGGCAAGCGGAGGAGGAGGAGGAAGAAGCGGAACGGGCACGGGACUGUCGGCACGACAGCGAGCAAGACAGGCGAGAGAGUGCGAGCGAAACGGUGAAAGGAUAGUACAGAGGGAGGAUGGGCAGACAGGCGAGAAAGAGAGGGUGCGAACGCGUUGCAUCUCGAGCGUCGGCAGGUUAUCCGGGGGCGAGGGUGGCACCACGGGCAUUAAAUAUACACGCUGAUUUGUCGUCCGCGGAUUGUCACCUCUGAUAGCUUUCAUUUUGUUGUAUAUCGGUGGCGGGCGCGCUCGCCCCGCACGCGCUCCGCGCUUUUCCACGUAAUUCGGCCCGCUUGAUUGACUUUUGAGCUGGCCUUUAUGGCGAUAUUCGUUGCGCCAACGAAUGCGCCAGCGCUCGAAUCCGUUCCCCAUCCCGCCUCCUCCACCCCCUGCCGCCUCCCUAAACGUCUCUAGUAGAUUUAUCGGACAGCGAACGCGUGUCCUGGCGAUUUUUCGUUCGGUCCGGUCAUAGCUCGUCAUCGAAACCGUGACGCCUGCCCGUCUACCUUUUCGUCGCGCGAUCACAGCCGGAGGCGGCGCGCGGUUCCCGCCAACGCGCGACGUCCUUCUUCCGACAGGUUUUCAGGCGUUUCGAACGCUCGUGUCAACCGUGUGAACGCGACCGACCGAAGGACACGCGCCAAUUGCCGCCGAUUGACGCGUUUCCAUCGCGUCGUAACGUCUAAUUUUUGGCAAGUUGAACGGGGUCGAUGGCGGAGAUCGCUGGUCGCCACUCGUCCAACGAGAUGGUCGCCGGCGACGGCGGACUUUGUUCGCGGUUCUCGCGAAUCGCGAGCGCCUCUGCGCUGUUUCAUCAACAUCGUCGACCUGUCUUUCAAUAAUCGGUAAUCGCGAUCGCGUAUUUGUUUAAAGUGGCAGGAAUUCCGCUGGUAUUGUCUGCCGGUGAAAACAAGGCUCGCGCUGGCCGCGCGCCGCUUGUAUUCCGAGCACGACUCGUUGCGUCGCGCGGAGAAUAAACGUCUUUCUUCGUUUCGCAGAAAUUCCGCCCUCUGCGAGCGUAAAUGUCACAUUUGUCGCGAGAGAUCGAUCGGCGAU
RNAcentral lists this unclassified non-coding RNA (2162 nucleotides) under Bombus terrestris (buff-tailed bumblebee). Its description in RNAcentral is "misc RNA ENSBTSG00005034271.1". Lineage: Eukaryota; Metazoa; Arthropoda; Insecta; Hymenoptera; Apidae. The record is from RNAcentral.